AGUGAACGUUGGCGGCGUGGAUUAGGCAUGCAAGUCGAACGCAGGACCGGCUUCGGUUGGUCUUGAGUGGCGAAAGGGUGAGUAAUGCAUAAACAAUCUGCCCCUGAGACUGGGAUAGCUACUGGAAACGGUAGGUAAUACCAGAUGGCCCCACGAUGUGGCAUCACAAUGUGGGUAAAACGGUAGGGAUCUUCGGACCUUCUGCUCGGGGAGGAGUUUAUGGUCCUAUUAGCUAGUUGGUGAGGUAAUGGCUCACCAAGGCUGUGAUGGGUAGCUGGUCUGAGAGGAUGGUCAGCCACACUGGGACUGAGACACUGCCCAGACUCUUACGGGAGGCUGCAGUCGAGAAUCUUCCGCAAUGGGCAAAGCCUGACGAGCGACGCCGCGUGGAGGAUCGAAGG
RNAcentral lists this ribosomal RNA (401 nucleotides) under uncultured bacterium. RNAcentral describes it as "bacterial SSU rRNA". It matches the Rfam family "Bacterial small subunit ribosomal RNA", at positions 29 to 414 of the family's 1533-position model. The record is from RNAcentral.